CAUAGGUUAAUGAGGCGAACCGGGGGAACUGAAACAUCUAAGUACCCCGAGGAAAAGAAAUCAACCGAGAUUCCCCCAGUAGCGGCGAGCGAACGGGGAGGAGCCCAGAGCCUGAAUCAGUGUGUGUGUUAGUGGAAGCGUCUGGAAAGGCGCGCGAUACAGGGUGACAGCCCCGUACACAAAAAUGCACAUACUGUGAGCUCGAUGAGUAGGGCGGGACACGUGGUAUCCUGUCUGAAUAUGGGGGGACCAUCCUCCAAGGCUAAAUACUCCUGACUGACCGAUAGUGAACCAGUACCGUGAGGGAAAGGCGAAAAGAACCCCGGCGAGGGGAGUGAAAAAGAACCUGAAACCGUGUACGUACAAGCAGUGGGAGCCUCUUUAUGG
This 387-nucleotide ribosomal RNA is filed under the name Escherichia coli. RNAcentral describes it as "partial 23S ribosomal RNA". It matches the Rfam family "Bacterial large subunit ribosomal RNA", at positions 165 to 590 of the family's 2925-position model. Lineage: Bacteria; Pseudomonadati; Pseudomonadota; Gammaproteobacteria; Enterobacterales; Enterobacteriaceae. The record is from RNAcentral.